CAGUCGCCACGGGAAUACGAAGGGGGCUAGCGUUGCUCGGAAUGACUGGGCGUAAAGGGCGCGUAGGCGGAUUGCGCAGUCAGAUGUGAAAUUCCUGGGCUUAACCUGGGGGCUGCAUUUGAGACGCGUAGUCUAGAGUGUGAAAGAGGGUCGUGGAAUUCCCAGUGUAGAGGUGAAAUUCGUAGAUAUUGGGAAGAACACCGGUGGCGAAGGCGGCGACCUGGUUCAUAACUGACGCUGAGGCGCGAAAGCGUGGGGAGCAAACAGGAUUAGAUACCCGCGUAGUCCCGUCUCUUAUACC
This 301-nucleotide ribosomal RNA is filed under the name uncultured bacterium. Its description in RNAcentral is "partial 16S ribosomal RNA". It matches the Rfam family "Bacterial small subunit ribosomal RNA", at positions 509 to 808 of the family's 1533-position model. The record is from RNAcentral.